Molecule: long non-coding RNA, 1941 nt
Filed under: Nicotiana tabacum (common tobacco)
Lineage: Eukaryota; Viridiplantae; Streptophyta; Magnoliopsida; Solanales; Solanaceae
Description: long non-coding RNA (NTAB_LNC011756)
Source: RNAcentral
CACAUAUUUAACAUGCCAUAUCAUAUUAAAACUUUAUUUUUUAAUAAUAAAAUUUAUAUAACUCAUAGACCUUAUACCUAUGUAACCAACCCAUAAUAAAAUGGGUCUACUAUUAUAAAUGUUUCCGAAUUUGCUGCAUCUUGAUCUGAACCCUUGAAUCUAUCUUCAAUCUUGUUCAAUCGUCGGCUCUGAUAUCAUUUGUUGGGAUCAAAAUAUUAUGAUUCAUGCGGAAGCUAAUAUGGUAAACCUUAACGACGAUAAAUCAUAUGACAAAGAAAAAUAUAUUAAAUCAGGCACAAUAAUUUAUUAUGAUUUGGUCAAUCGACAUACAUAUGAUUCAUCACUAAUAUCAAAGGAGAAAAUAAAAAAUUUGAGAGAAUAGUCUCCCCUAAACAAAACUUUCUAAAAGGUUACAUUGUGGAGGUUGUUGUUGUUGUGAGAAGCAUAGAUCCUCAAUUUAGGAUGUCGAAGACUUUUCCUACGAGAAAAUGAUAAGACAUAUGAAUGAAAUUUAUUCCUUUUAGAAGUCUUUAUCCCUUCAUUCGAAAAAGAGAGUCCUAAUAGAUUAAAAAUUCACUGCAAAACUCUAACAAAGAUUGGAUUCAAAAUAUAUAUUGAAGUAUUAAUGACUUCACACAUACAUAUAUUCCAUGUAAAACAUUAGGGGUUCAUUUGACCUCAUAUUGCAUCCAUAUCUCUGUCUUUAUGCCUUUAUUAUUGGCAGAUUCUAAAGAAUAUGAAAAAGGGAAAUAUAUAAGUUACCCCUAAAUGGCUAAAUAUAUCCGCAAAGUCAUUUACGUAUACCUUAAUUUCAUGAGUGAUCUCUUAUCCCUAUUCUUGUGGUGGGCCAUGUUUUACAGGUAUGCCACGUGUCAAAUGCGGCUUUAUUUUAUUUUAGGACUAGUUAAAUUAUCCGUGUUUUAUAAAAUUAAAAAAUAUUAAAUUGGAUUAAAUAAAUUGGAGUAAUAAUAAAAAAUGAUAUAAGUGAAAGAAAUAGAUUUUUUUUUUACGGCAAGUAAUGGUAGGAAAGAGGACGUAAAGAAGAAAAGAAAAAAUAGAGAAUAGAUAACUUUUACAUGCAUAUGGAUAAAAUAAUUCUAUAUUAUCUCAUAAAUAUAUAAAAAUUAACAAUUAACAAUAUAAGUAUCUUAAAUAUGAGAAGAGAAAAGAACAUAAAGUGUUACUUCUUGGGCAAUAAAUUAACGUUUUCAUAUUUUGCCCAAAAAGUCGUUAACAUAAUUUUUUGUUCAUUUCUCUUCUCCUAUUUAAAGUACUUACAUUGUUAUUGUUAAUUUUUAAAUCCAAAACAUCUAUUACCACCUACUUGGCAAAGUAUAAAAUUAGAAGAAGUGAGAUUCACUAAUUUUGUAAAAGAAUAUUAACUAAGAUUUUAGAAUUAUUGCUGAUUGCUUAAUGUUACGGAAAGGCAGUGCAAUAUCAAAUGCUUAACUUCAUCAUUCUCUAUAUCAAAAUUGACUGGAAAACGGUAUUUUGUAUAACAUACCUGCACGAUAUCUUCUCCCUUUACACACAAAGUACAUUAAUAAUGUCAUUCUUAUCAGGGAUCCGAAGCCACAGUGGUAAUAAAUAGGUCGAGUCCUAGGCUUUCAUAUUUGGUUUCUGAAGUAUACUUAAGUAUAAAAUUUCAUGCUUCCUAGUUCAUGAAGACCACAUAAUCAUAAUUUAGUGAUGAAUGAAAAUUUUUGGGUAUGAAGACCAUUGUUUUCUUUUUCUGGAUAAGACAUUGUUCACAGACGAAAAAGCGAGAGAACUUCCAAGGCUCGAUCUACGAUUGCGUCUCAUUGUUUGGUAACAAAUAGAAUGAGCCAAAAACUAUUGUUUUCAUAGACCAAAAAGCAACAAAUAAAAUGAGCCAAACCUUUGCCAAAAAUUAGUAUGCCGUUACUUUGUCAAAAUUUGCGUCUUCUGGGGAAACCAAAG